GACGAACGCUGGCGGCGUGCUUAACACAUGCAAGUCGAACGGAAAGGCCCUGCUUUUGUGGGGUGCUCGAGUGGCGAACGGGUGAGUAACACGUGAGUAACCUGCCCUUGACUUUGGGAUAACUUCAGGAAACUGGGGCUAAUACCGGAUAGGAGCUCCUGCUGCAUGGUGGGGGUUGGAAAGUUUCGGCGGUUGGGGAUGGACUCGCGGCUUAUCAGCUUGUUGGUGGGGUAGUGGCUUACCAAGGCUUUGACGGGUAGCCGGCCUGAGAGGGUGACCGGCCACACUGGGACUGAGAGACGGCCCAGACUGCUACGGGAGGCAGCAGUGGGGAAUAUUGCACAAUGGGCGGAAGCCUGAUGCAGCAACGCCGCGUGCGGGAUGACGGCCUUCGGGUUGUAAACCGCUUUCGCCUGUGACGAAGCGUGAGUGACGGUAAUGGGUAAAGAAGCACCGGCUAACUACGUG
Molecule: ribosomal RNA, 468 nt
Filed under: uncultured bacterium
Lineage: Bacteria
Description: partial 16S ribosomal RNA
Rfam family: Bacterial small subunit ribosomal RNA
Source: RNAcentral